AGAGUUUGAUCAUGGCUCAGAUUGAACGCUGGCGGCAGGCCUAACACAUGCAAGUCGAACGGUAACAUUUCUAGCUUGCUAGAAGAUGACGAGUGGCGGACGGGUGAGUAAUGCUUGGGAACUUGCCUUUGCGAGGGGGAUAACAGUUGGAAACGACUGCUAAUACCGCAUAAUGUCUUCGGACCAAACGGGGCUUAGGCUCCGGCGCAAAGAGAGGCCCAAGUGAGAUUAACUAGUUGGUAAGGUAACGGCUUACCAAGGCGACUAUCUCUACCUGUUCUGACAGGAACAUCAGCCACACUGGGACUGAAACACGGCCCAGACUCCUACGGGAGGCAGCAGUGGGGAAUAUUGCACAAUGGGGGAAACCCUGAUGCAGCCAUGCCGCGUGUGUGAAGAAGGCCUUCGGGUUGUAAAGCACUUUCAGUUGUGAGGAAAAGUUAGUAGUUAAUACCUGCUAGCCGUGACGUUAACAACAGAACAAGCACCGGCUAACUCCGUGCCAGCAGCCGCGGUAAUACGGAGGGUGCGAGCGUUAAUCGUGAAUUACUGGGCGUAAAGCGCACGCACGGCGGUUUGUUAAGCUAGAUGUGAAAGCCCCGGGCUCAACCUGGGAUGGUCAUUUAGAACUGGCAUACUAGAGUCUUGGA
RNAcentral lists this ribosomal RNA (650 nucleotides) under uncultured bacterium. RNAcentral's name for it is "bacterial SSU rRNA". It matches the Rfam family "Bacterial small subunit ribosomal RNA", at positions 8 to 653 of the family's 1533-position model. The record is from RNAcentral.